Molecule: ribosomal RNA, 301 nt
Filed under: uncultured bacterium
Lineage: Bacteria
Description: partial 16S ribosomal RNA
Rfam family: Bacterial small subunit ribosomal RNA
Source: RNAcentral
CAGUCGCCGCGGUAAUACGGAGGGGGCUAGCGUUGUUCGGAAUUACUGGGCGUAAAGCGCACGUAGGCGGCUUGGUAAGUUAGAGGUGAAAGCCCGGGGCUCAACCCCGGAACUGCCUUUGAAACUAGAUGACUGGAAUCUUGGAGAGGUCAGUGGAAUUCCGAGUGUAGAGGUGAAAUUCGUAGAUAUUCGGAAGAACACCAGUGGCGAAGGCGACUGACUGGACAAGUAUUGACGCUGAGGUGCGAAAGCGUGGGGAGCAAACAGGAUUAGAUACCCCAGUAGUCCCUGUCUCUUAUAC